UACGAAGGGGGCUAGCGUUGUUCGGAAUCACUGGGCGUAAAGCGCGUGUAGGCGGUUUGCCAAGUCGGGUGUGAAAGCCUUGGGCUUAACCCAAGAAAUGCACUCGGUACUGGCAGACUAGAGGACCGGAGAGGAUAGUGGAAUUCCCAGUGUAGUGGUGAAAUACGUAGAGAUUGGGAAGAACACCAGUGGCGAAGGCGGCUAUCUGGACGGUUUCUGACGCUAAGACGCGAAAGCGUGGGGAGCAAACAGG
This 253-nucleotide ribosomal RNA is filed under the name uncultured bacterium. RNAcentral describes it as "partial 16S ribosomal RNA". It matches the Rfam family "Bacterial small subunit ribosomal RNA", at positions 524 to 776 of the family's 1533-position model. The record is from RNAcentral.